AACAAAGAAGUAAUGUAUUUACAUUUAGUUUCGACCUAAAAAUAAGGAUAUAAUCCUCAUGUUU
RNAcentral lists this transfer RNA (64 nucleotides) under Dryadomorpha sp. EMHAU-2015-Zz060407. Its description in RNAcentral is "tRNA-Arg". Lineage: Eukaryota; Metazoa; Arthropoda; Insecta; Hemiptera; Cicadellidae. The record is from RNAcentral. RNAcentral also lists the same sequence under 1 other name.